Molecule: long non-coding RNA, 763 nt
Organism: Fukomys damarensis (Damara mole-rat)
Lineage: Eukaryota; Metazoa; Chordata; Mammalia; Rodentia; Bathyergidae
Exons: 4
Source: RefSeq, a predicted model, not a curated record
AUGGCAUGUGGUGGUCAAAUUGCCUGUAUGGGAAGAAAACUUUACUGAAGUUCUGGGGAGAAACCCCAUGGGCUCUGCACCAGAUACUCAGAGAGAAAGUGGUCAGGAAAAGUCGAAUUCUGUACAGGCCAAACAUCACAGAUUGAUAGACCGGAUGUGGUUGAAUCAAGAUCCACUCAAAGAGAGACAGAGUAUACAAAUGACGACACAAUGGGACGAGAGUGACACGCUGGGGUGCAUACGGAGUGCAAGGAGAGGUGCUCUGAGCUAUUCCAAGGGUUUCUGAUCUGGAAUGCGAGGUGGUGAGGAACUGCUUCUCUGAGAGGACGUGGUAUUUGACUCGAGAUCUGAGCAAGGAGGGAAGUUUUUAGGGGAAUUCAUGCUGCAGCUGAUGCCUAUGGCUCAAUAGAAGAUCCAACCAAUUCAGUACAAGGGUGAGGGUCCAAGCAGAGUAUCUCCCACCCAGGACCGGAAAUGAAGUGCAGGAUGACACGAAGAAGUACAAGUCCUUGGUCCCUCACGCAGGGUCCGAAGAUUCUACGCUUUUACCUGGGUCAUCAAGUCCGUGAGGAACCCUAGAAAAAAUCAAACAGAAUAGAGAACAUCAGAGCACAUUGCACAGGGUGGAUGAGCACCUUUUCAUGAAAGCUCAUCUCAGAAAUCUAACAGGAAUGUGGAAUUGUAGCAUCAUGAUAUAAAUUGUGAACACCAGGCCCUCAAAUGAAUGAAUAUUUAUUGAAUCAGUGAAUUUUCCCAGCUAGAA